Molecule: long non-coding RNA, 320 nt
Filed under: Elaeis guineensis (African oil palm)
Lineage: Eukaryota; Viridiplantae; Streptophyta; Magnoliopsida; Arecales; Arecaceae
Description: long non-coding RNA (EGUI_LNC021451)
Source: RNAcentral
UAUCUCCCCAAUCCUCUCCAUUCUCCUCUCGGUCUAGGGAUUUUUUGCAAUCAUCCUCCCAAAACCCUAUUUUCUCAAUCCCCUUCCCUAUUUCCCCUCUACGGUAGCCAUCCUUUUGCUGCAUUCGCCAUGGUAGAAGCUCCAUAAUUAGAUCUAGCGCCUUCCUCCAAUCUAGGGCUUUGAAUAGUGAGCGAGAUAGAUUUUAUCUUUGUAGCCUAUGUGCCUAGAUAAGGACCUCAUGGAUAAGAAGAAAUCCAAAUUGAAGGUUCUUCGGUUGCCCAUGAUUUGGGGUAUAAGUUUUUCUUUGGCCCUAACUCCCU